UCUUCACAUCCAUUAUCAACCCCCAAAUCUAUCUCCUCUUUCACUGCUAUUAUUGCCUUUAUCAGGCCAAUCAGAGGAGCUCUUCCAUACUAUGGAACCCAACACCGACUUUCUUCAAUGAUUGUCGCUUCUCCCUUGCUGCUCUCAAUUCCCAUUGCCCUCUCCAAACUAUUAUGAGGCUUUAUAAAAGGGAGGAGUCUUGCUUUAUAACUCGCUCUCAAUGACAGAAAAUACAUUCAAUGAGGACCUUCUAUGCUUCAAGUUGCAAAGUAUAUUUGACUUCUAUAUGCUAUGUUGCAAAAUAUCAACAAAAAAAGCUUGCAUGAUGCUUCAAUUUCAUGGAUGUGGCUAGAAGACUAUGUGCUACCUUUUAUGCUUGGCAUUGAUUGUGCUUGUGUUUUAACACGUUGGUAAUGAUUUUUUUUUUCACUCAAAUUGUGCCUAUGCUUGUAUUCUUCUGAUAUCUUUCCAUAGUUCAAAUAGAUGGUAGUGAUCAGCAUCUGAGAUUUAGUAGAGGGUCAUGCAGCUAGCCUCAUGCAUGGUGUCUAAUGACUUACACCAUCUGCUAAAAUGAAAGAAGGACACACAAUACACAAUUUC
This 600-nucleotide long non-coding RNA is filed under the name Vitis vinifera (wine grape). Its description in RNAcentral is "long non-coding RNA (VVIN_LNC004918)". The record is from RNAcentral. Lineage: Eukaryota; Viridiplantae; Streptophyta; Magnoliopsida; Vitales; Vitaceae.